This 465-nucleotide ribosomal RNA is filed under the name Vreelandella stevensii. RNAcentral's name for it is "partial 16S ribosomal RNA". It matches the Rfam family "Bacterial small subunit ribosomal RNA", at positions 338 to 795 of the family's 1533-position model. Lineage: Bacteria; Pseudomonadati; Pseudomonadota; Gammaproteobacteria; Oceanospirillales; Halomonadaceae. The record is from RNAcentral.
UCUACGGGCGGCUGCAGUGGGGAAUAUUGGACAAUGGGCGAAAGCCUGAUCCAGCCAUGCCGCGUGUGUGAAGAAGGCCUUCGGGUUGUAAAGCACUUUCAGUGGGGAAGAAAGCCUUGGGGCUAAUACCCUCGAGGAAGGACAUCACCCACAGAAGAAGCACCGGCUAACUCCGUGCCAGCAGCCGCGGUAAUACGGAGGGUGCGAGCGUUAAUCGGAAUUACUGGGCGUAAAGCGCGCGUAGGCGGUCUGAUAAGCCGGUUGUGAAAGCCCCGGGCUCAACCUGGGAACGGCAUCCGGAACUGUCAGGCUAGAGUGCAGGAGAGGAAGGUAGAAUUCCCGGUGUAGCGGUGAAAUGCGUAGAGAUCGGGAGGAAUACCAGUGGCGAAGGCGGCCUUCUGGACUGACACUGACGCUGAGGUGCGAAAGCGUGGGUAGCAAACAGGAUUAGAUACCCUAGUAGUC